CCUACGGGCGGCAGCAGUGGGGAAUAUUGGACAAUGGGCGAAAGCCUGAUCCAGCCAUGCCGCGUGUGUGAAGAAGGCCUUCGGGUUGUAAAGCACUUUCAGUGGGGAAGAAAGCCUUGGGGCUAAUACCCUCGAGGAAGGACAUCACCCACAGAAGAAGCACCGGCUAACUCCGUGCCAGCAGCCGCGGUAAUACGGAGGGUGCGAGCGUUAAUCGGAAUUACUGGGCGUAAAGCGCGCGUAGGCGGUCUGAUAAGCCGGUUGUGAAAGCCCCGGGCUCAACCUGGGAACGGCAUCCGGAACUGUCAGGCUAGAGUGCAGGAGAGGAAGGUAGAAUUCCCGGUGUAGCGGUGAAAUGCGUAGAGAUCGGGAGGAAUACCAGCGGCGAAGGCGGCCUUCUGGACUGACACUGACGCUGAGGUGCGAAAGCGUGGGUAGCAAACAGGAUUAGAUACCCUGGUAGUC
This 465-nucleotide ribosomal RNA is filed under the name Vreelandella stevensii. RNAcentral describes it as "partial 16S ribosomal RNA". It matches the Rfam family "Bacterial small subunit ribosomal RNA", at positions 338 to 795 of the family's 1533-position model. Lineage: Bacteria; Pseudomonadati; Pseudomonadota; Gammaproteobacteria; Oceanospirillales; Halomonadaceae. The record is from RNAcentral.